AUAUAAAUUUUAAAAUUUUAAAAUGUUAAAUUCACUUUAUUAUUAUUUAAGUCUUUGGUUGUUAUUUCCUCGAGUUUGUAACAUAACCUUUCAAAAUCAAAUUCAUCCAUGAAUUACAAUUGCUCGAUUUUCAAAACUCAUGAACUAUCUUUGCUUGAAGACCAUGGACUGUCCCCUAAAUGCAGUGCCAACUUGAAAAAUCCCACCAUCAUCAUUUCCAUCUUGAUUUUCAUCUUAAUUUCUUCUCUUUCCCUCCCUUCUAUCAUCAAUCAACUCCUCCAAUCUCUACUUUAAGCAAGUGAAAAAAGAGAAAGAAUGCACUACAAAGAAAAGUGGCAAGAGAUAGCUAGCAAGUUGGGUUUUAAGCGGUUUUAACUUCUGAUGGAUUUGGAUUUCGGUAUGAGUAAAUAAUAAACGGUGGUGGUGAAGAGAGGGUUGCUGCUAUAAAUUAGAAGUUUAGGGUUGUUUUAAUAUACUUGUAUAGAUGUUAUAGCUGAUUUCAUCUUUCUCUUCUUUUGUUCAAUUUUGGCCCAUUUUCUUCGGCCUUUUGUCUAAAGGAGAAAGUUGAGUCCAUUUAGAAAAGGUUACUCUUGUAGUUUCAUCUACACAUUAUGGGCAAUAAUGUAAUUUAAUAUCCCUUAGGCCAAUUUAGGGUUUUCUGUUCUCUUCCCUAUUUAUAACCCCAUCGCUCUCUUCUUUCUUCCUCACUCAGUUGGCUCCGCUGUCCGCUCUAAUCAUUCUCUUGCCUGUGAUGUUCAACAUUUGUCCGUACCAUCUGAGAUUUUUAUCUUUGAUGUAUUCUUUCAAAGUUUAGUUUCUGAGGCAUCAAUAAUCCAAGCUAAAGGAAAACCUUUUUUUUUUCCUUCUUUUCUCCGAUUUCGAUUUAAUAUUUUUUUAUUGGUAUGAUUAUUUUGAGGCGGUGAUGAUGAAAAUUAUACCAUCAAACCAUGAGAGCUCUGCCUCGUUGAUGUAAUAAUAUUUCAACUCUCUGAGCCUUUUUUUAUGUAUUUUAUUUUUAGAUGAAAAAUCAAUAGAAAUACAAAGAAGGCAAUAAAUUAGAGUCACUGUUGCGCUAUAAUAAAAAUAGCGACUUCAGCGCUGUACGUUGCCAAUACAGAUUUGGAGCUGAGAUUCUGGCAUUUUGCUCUUUUUUCUUUAGUUUUAUGCAUUCAGAUGCUCCACAUUUUUUGAAGUUUUAGUAAUUUUUUUAAUUAAUUUGGAAUGAAGAUGGAAGUGAUGAUUAUUUCCCCAGAUGAUCGAAGCUGAACAUACUGUGCGAUUUGUUUUUUCUCUAAUUCGUUAGAGAUUCCAAGCCAGAACUCUGAUCCAUCUUCAUAUAUUCU
Long non-coding RNA from Durio zibethinus, 1343 nucleotides. RefSeq lists it as uncharacterized. The record is from RefSeq and is a predicted model, not a curated record. NCBI's taxonomy places the organism in Eukaryota, Viridiplantae, Streptophyta, Magnoliopsida, Malvales, Malvaceae.